This 107-nucleotide small nuclear RNA is filed under the name Castor canadensis (American beaver). The record is from RNAcentral. Lineage: Eukaryota; Metazoa; Chordata; Mammalia; Rodentia; Castoridae.
GAACUCCCUUCAGCAGCACAUAUACUAAAAUUGGAAUGAUACAGAGAAAAUUAGCAUGGCCCCUAUGCAAGGAUGACAUGAGAAUUCAUGAAGCAUUCCAUACUCAA